CCCAUACGUGGAGAUGGUGGGUCCUUCAGGUCCUACUGGUGCUCCCAUGGGUGGAGAUAAUGGGUCCUUCAGGUCCCACUGGUGGUCCCACAGGUCCUUCAGAUCCUAUUGGUGGUCCUACGAGUAGAGAUGUGUCCUUCAGAUCCUACUGGUGGUGCCACAGAUCCUAUUGGCGAUCCCACGGGUGGAGAUGUGUCCUCCAGAUCCUAGUGGUGGUGCCACAGGUCCUUCAGAUCCUACUGGUGGUCCUAUGGGUGGAGAUGUGUCCUUCAGAUCCUAUUGGUGGUUCUAUGGGUAGAGAUGAGUCCUUCAGAUCCUACUGGUGGUCCCACAGCUCCUUCAGAUCCUAUUGGUGGUCCCACGAGUGGAGACGUUUCCUUCAGAUCCCACUGGUGGUCUCACGGGUGGAAAUGUUUUUUCAGCUCCCACUGAUGGUCCCACACGUCCCUCAGAUCCCACUGAUGGUCCCACACGUCCUUCAGAAGCUGAAGUUGACACCAAAUCACCCGGUGCUUCUCCAAGGAACAGCCACCAAGACGGGACAAGACCAGCCUGCCCAGUUCCCCCAACGCCCCCCAGUGACAUCCUCGUGUCCUUCCCGUCCCCAAAGUGCCACCCCCUCCCCACCCAGAGGUCUUCCCCACCCCGUUCCACCAUCCCUGGUGUCACCCCAAAGUCCUCCAGGUGAACACCAACCCCCCCAGAAGGUUCCAGUCCCUCCGUCCCUCCGGUGGGAGGCGGGCAGCGGGGUGCGGGGCGAGAACUUGGGGGAGGGGGGAGUUUAGGGGGUUGGUGGGGAAGGGGAUGGUCGUGGGGUGAUGCUAUAGGACGCCCUCCAUGAAGCUGGUGUCCAGGUGCUGGAUGAGGACCCGCAGGAAGGACAUCUCUUUGCGGGUGUUCUCAAAGAUGACGCGGGGGUCGUCCGACUGACAGCGCAGGCAGUUGGGGGCCAUCACCAUGGCCAGGUUGUUGACGUCCAUCUUGGUGACGGCCACGUUGGCCGGCUGCACGAACACCUGAGGGGGGCAAGGACCCAAUUUGGUGGUGGGGUUGGGGGAACCCAAACCCAGGGUGGUGGUAGGACCUCGUCCUUGGUGUGGGAUUGAGGGAAUACAAACUUAUGGUGGUGGUGGGAACCCAUCUUUGGUG
RNAcentral lists this long non-coding RNA (1149 nucleotides) under Phasianus colchicus (ring-necked pheasant). Its description in RNAcentral is "lncRNA (ENSPCLG00000014559.1)". Lineage: Eukaryota; Metazoa; Chordata; Aves; Galliformes; Phasianidae. The record is from RNAcentral.